UGGGGAAUAUUGCACAAUGGGCGCAAGCUUGAUGCAGCGACGCCGCGUGGGGGAUGACGGCCUUCGGGUUGUAAACCUCUUUCAGUACCGACGAAGCGAAAGUGACGGUAGGUACAGAAGAAGCACCGGCCAACUACGUGCCAGCAGCCGCGGUAAUACGUAGGGUGCGAGCGUUGUCCGGAAUUACUGGGCGUAAAGAGCUCGUAGGUGGUUUGUCGCGUUGUUCGUGAAAACCGGGGGCUUAACCCUCGGCGUGCGGGCGAUACGGGCAGACUGGAGUACUGCAGGGGAGACUGGAAUUCCUGGUGUAGCGGUGGAAUGCGCAGAUAACAGGAGGAACACCGGUGGCGAAGGCGGGUCUCUGGGCAGUAACUGACGCUGAGGAGCGAAAGCGUGGGGAGCGAACAG
RNAcentral lists this ribosomal RNA (408 nucleotides) under uncultured bacterium. RNAcentral's name for it is "bacterial SSU rRNA". It matches the Rfam family "Bacterial small subunit ribosomal RNA", at positions 355 to 775 of the family's 1533-position model. The record is from RNAcentral.